RNAcentral lists this non-coding RNA (406 nucleotides) under Mesocricetus auratus (golden hamster). RNAcentral's name for it is "Eukaryotic small subunit ribosomal RNA". The stretch from base 46 to 406 matches the Rfam family "Eukaryotic small subunit ribosomal RNA", at positions 612 to 976 of the family's 1831-position model. Lineage: Eukaryota; Metazoa; Chordata; Mammalia; Rodentia; Cricetidae. The record is from Rfam by way of RNAcentral.
UGUGAUUUAACUCUAGUCUAAAGUAUAUUCUAUGUAAUUAUAAAAGUUAAGGUUAUAAAGAUCUAUUUCACAGUUGGAUCUUGGGAGCAGGCAGGCAAUCUAUCACAUAACGAGUUCCCACCCCUCUCUUAGCUCCCUCCAUGCUCUUAGCUGGGUGUCCCAUGGGGUCCCAAGGUAUUUACUUUGAAAAAAUUAACAGUGCUCAAAGCAAGCUUAAGCCACCUGGAUACCAUAGCUAGGAAGAAUGGAAUAGGACAGAGAUCCUAUUUUGUUGGUUUUCAGACUGAGGACAUGAUUAAGAGGUACAGCCAGGAGCAUUCAUAUUGUGCCACUAGAGAUGAAAUUCUUGGACUGGCACAAGAUGGAGCAGAGCAAAAGCAUUUGCCAGUUUAAAAGUAGCCAGUCA